Molecule: ribosomal RNA, 83 nt
Filed under: uncultured bacterium
Lineage: Bacteria
Description: partial 16S ribosomal RNA
Source: RNAcentral
UCACGAAAGUGGAUUGUACUAGAAGUCUGCGUGCUGACCCGCAAGGGAGGCAGCGGCCCAAGGUAUGAUUCAUGAUUGGGGUG